RNAcentral lists this long non-coding RNA (1131 nucleotides) under Sorghum bicolor (sorghum). Its description in RNAcentral is "long non-coding RNA (SBIC_LNC007333)". The record is from RNAcentral. Lineage: Eukaryota; Viridiplantae; Streptophyta; Magnoliopsida; Poales; Poaceae.
GCUUCUAGAAUUGAUUAGGUGAGCUCUUGCUAAGGUAGCACCUUGUUUGCUUGUUUAGGAUCUUUUCAAGGUGCUAGAGAACUUAGAUAGAGGGGUGUAGUCUUGGCUAGACCGAUAGAUUGAAUUCCGCAUUUGUUUCGGUUAGCCGGCGUAAUAAUUUUUAGAAAGGACUAUUCACCCCCCCUCUAGUCCGCCAUCUCGACCCUUCACACGCGGGUGGAUAGGGAUGAAGUUGGAGCCAUUGCUUUUUCACGUGGACCCCAUCGUCCAAUUCUAUAGGAGCCAUCAAGCAUACUAUUGUGUGGUAUAUAGACAUCCUGAUUUACUCUAGAUUGUUUUCGCUGGCCAAAGUUAGGGAGCGAGGAUAUCUGUUUGAGUGCACACAAGAUUAUAGAAAAGUUAUUAGAGGGUACUAUUGUGUGGUAUAUAGACAUAAAAAAAGAAAAAAAACGACUCUGCCCAUCUCCGUCUCCAGUGCCGACGCAGCCAGGGACGCAGGCUGCACGCCGACGCCGUGACAAACGCAGUAAGUAUACUUGCUUCCCGAUUCUAUUGCUGACCAUCUGCACAUGGAGAGAAGCUCGAUGUCGCCAAGGUGGUAGGACAGUGGGAGACCACGGCCGUCGCCGCUGCGAGGUUCUCCGGCGAGCUGGGCCCCGAGUUCAGGUAGCUUCUGCACUAGGAGCUCUGUUCACUGUAUAACCUGUUAUUCUUCCAAGCAUAUAAUCUGCAAUUGAUUAUUGGCUUAUAAUCUGCUAUUCUUCCAAGCAUAUGAUGCCAAACAUGUGAAAAAAAAUCUUACCAAGUUUAGAUAUUGUUGAUUAGCAAACAAAUAUCAUGUUGGCAAACAACUAUUUUCUUAGUAAUAUUUGUUUCUUAAAGAUGAAAUAGUAAGAUAGAUAAGAUUCAUGCCAAAAGAAAUUCAUAAUGAGUUAUCAUAUUGUUGAGUCCACUGUAAUUCUGCUUAAAUAAAGGGAAAUUCAAAUAUUUUAAUUUUUCAAAAAAAGACAGCAGCCAACUGCCACAUUGGACAUUUGAUCACAUUUCUGAUUUACAAUGUUUGCUUUUGUCUAACGACAAGGGGACAGUAUCAGUAAAGAAACAUUUAUAAAUAAUAAAACUCAACAGAGG